UCUUUUUCCUGUGGCAACACUACCGCUAACAGCUGAUUUGAACUUGUCCCAAUUUAUUUACUGAUUUUUAUUUAAUUUAAUAUCAUAAAAGGUCUCUAAACUCAUCACUGUUACUGUUUUAUGUAAUUAUAAGUGAAAUAACGUUUAAAUCUGUGUAUUGCAUUGUGUUUAUGGUGCAAAUUGUGCAAAUACUUAGGACCGAUUUGACAGUGCAAUUGCGAAAAUAUUACGUUUGAUUUUGUUAACAUUGUUCUAUCUUUCGAAACAGGUAUUACCCUAGACUGUAAAUUACAAUGGGGCCCCCAUAUUGCUGCCUUGGCGGGAAGACUUAGUUCAGCUGCCUUUGCGGUGAGAAAGAUCAGAAACUUGACUGAUGUUGAAACAGCAAGGCUUGUAUAUUUUAGUUAUUUUCAUAGUAUUAUGUCUUAUGGUCUUUUACUGUGGGGCUCAGCAGCAGACAUAGAAUCAAUUUUCAUUUUACAGAAAAGAGCUGUUCGGGCAAUAUACGGUCUUAAACCACGUGACUCGCUUAGAGAAGUUUUUAAAGAAAUCAAUAUAUUGACUGUGGCUUCGCAAUACAUAUUUGAUAACAUUAUGUAUGUCCGUAAACAUAUACAUUUAUUUACUAAGAAAAGUGACGUCCACUCAUUUAACACGAGACAUAAGAAUAAACUUGCUGUUCCAUCAUUUAGGUUGCAUAAGAUAGGUAAUUCAUUCUUGGGGAAAUGUAUUACCAUAUUUAACAAAAUACCACACAACCUUGUCGAAUUGCCAAUAAACAAAUUUAAGAUACAUAUAAAAAAUACCCUUAUGUCCAAAGGGUACUACAAGGUUCGAGACUAUAUUGAUGACAAGGAUGCGUGGUCAGUUCAGUCUGCACAUAUUUGAUGUACUUAAAUUUGACUAUUCUUACCGUUAGAUAAUUCCUGGCAAUAAGUGGUGACUGAGUUUGUUCCGGCGUUUCUUCUCAGCACUUGCCAUAUGUUUGUCUCGAAGCGCUGGUAGGGCCCAAAAGAUAAGGAGACAUGUAAAGUGCCCCAUAAGGGCUACCUUUUCUUUUUUUAUUAUUUUCUAUUGACGUUCAUAAGUGCCACUUGUGGUCUAAACUGAAUAAAUAUUUUUUGAUUUGAUUUGA
This is a long non-coding RNA of Ostrinia nubilalis (European corn borer), 1135 nucleotides long. RefSeq lists it as uncharacterized. The transcript has 2 exons. Lineage: Eukaryota; Metazoa; Arthropoda; Insecta; Lepidoptera; Crambidae. The record is from RefSeq and is a predicted model, not a curated record.